Molecule: ribosomal RNA, 332 nt
Filed under: uncultured bacterium
Lineage: Bacteria
Description: bacterial SSU rRNA
Rfam family: Bacterial small subunit ribosomal RNA
Source: RNAcentral
CGUGUAGGCGGUUAUGUAAGUCAGAUGUGAAAUCCUUCCGCUUAACGGAAGAAGUGCAUUUGAAACUACAUGACUGGAGUACGGGAGAGGAGAGUGGAAUUCCCGGUGUAGAGGUGAAAUUCGUAGAUAUCGGGAGGAACACCAGUGGCGAAGGCGGCUCUCUGGCCUGAUACUGACGCUGAGACGCGAAAGCGUGGGGAGCAAACAGGAUUAGAUACCCUGGUAGUCCACGCCGUAAACGAUGGGCACUAGGUGUAGGAGGUAUUGACCCCUUCUGUGCCGAAGCUAACGCAUUAAGUGCCCCGCCUGGGGAGUACGGCCGCAAGGUUAAA